Molecule: ribosomal RNA, 253 nt
Filed under: uncultured bacterium
Lineage: Bacteria
Description: partial 16S ribosomal RNA
Rfam family: Bacterial small subunit ribosomal RNA
Source: RNAcentral
UACGUGGGGGGCAAGCGUUGUUCGGAAUUACUGGGCGUAAAGGGCUCGUAGGCGGCCAACUAAGUCAGACGUGAAAUCCCUCGGCUUAACCGGGGAACUGCGUCCGAUACUGGAUGGCUUGAGUUUGGGAGAGGGAUGCGGAAUUCCAGGUGUAGCGGUGAAAUGCGUAGAUAUCUGGAGGAACACCGGUGGCGAAGGCGGCAUCCUGGACCAACACUGACGCUGAGGAGCGAAGGCCAGGGGAGCAAACGGG